RNAcentral lists this ribosomal RNA (497 nucleotides) under uncultured bacterium. Its description in RNAcentral is "partial 16S ribosomal RNA". It matches the Rfam family "Bacterial small subunit ribosomal RNA", at positions 28 to 507 of the family's 1533-position model. The record is from RNAcentral.
GAUGAACGCUGGCGGCGUGCCUAAUACAUGCAAGUCGAGCGAACGGACGAGAAGCUUGCUUCUCUGAUGUUAGCGGCGGACGGGUGAGUAACACGUGGAUAACCUACCUAUAAGACUGGGAUAACUUCGGGAAACCGGAGCUAAUACCGGAUGAUAUUUUGAACCGCAUGGUUCAAAAGUGAAAGACGGUCUUGCUGUCACUUAUAGAUGGAUCCGCGCUGCAUUAGCUAGUUGGUCAGGUAACGGCUUACCAAGGCAACGAUGCAUAGCCGACGUGAGAGGGUGAUCGGCCACACUGGAACUGAGACACGGUCCAGACUCCUACGGGAGGCAGCAGUAGGGAAUCUUCCGCAAUGGGCGAAAGCCUGACGGAGCAACGCCGCGUGAGUGAUGACGGUCUUCGGAUCGUAAAACUCUGUUAUUAGGGAAGAACAUAUGUGUAAGUAACUGUGCACAUCUUGACGGUACCGAAUCAGAAAGCCACGGCUAACUACGUG